UGGGAUAUGGCUCAAUGGUAGGGCACUUGCCUAGCAUGUAGGGUGCUCUGGGUUCCAUCCCUAGCACCACAA
RNAcentral lists this transfer RNA (72 nucleotides) under Cavia porcellus (domestic guinea pig). It matches the Rfam family "tRNA". From Rfam's summary of the family: Transfer RNA (tRNA) molecules are approximately 80 nucleotides in length. The record is from Rfam by way of RNAcentral. Lineage: Eukaryota; Metazoa; Chordata; Mammalia; Rodentia; Caviidae.